Molecule: ribosomal RNA, 502 nt
Filed under: uncultured bacterium
Lineage: Bacteria
Description: bacterial SSU rRNA
Rfam family: Bacterial small subunit ribosomal RNA
Source: RNAcentral
GGUUCAGGAUGAACGCUGGCGGCGUGCCUAAUACAUGCAAGUCGAACGAGGUAGCAAUACCGAGUGGCGAACGGGUGAGUAACACGUAGGUAACCUGCCUUACAGUUUGGGAUACCCGAGGGAAACCUUGGCUAAUACCGAAUAAUUCUUUUGGAGGCAUCUCCAGAAGCUAAAAGGGGCCUUUAAAGCCUCGCUGAAAGAUGGACCUGCGGCGCAUUAGCUAGUUGGUGAGAUAACAGCCCACCAAGGCGAGGAUGCGUAGCCGACCUAAGAGGGUGAACGGCCACACUGGAACUGAGACACGGUCCAGACUCCUACGGGAGGCAGCAGUAGGGAGUUUUCGGCAAUGGGGGAAACCCUGACCGAGCAACGCCGCGUGAACGAAUGAAGGUCUUCGGAUUGUAAAGUUCUGUUAUAAGGGAAGAAUGAUAACUUGAGGAAAUGCUAGUUAUUUGACGGUACCUUAUUAGAAAGCCACGGCUAACUACGUGCCAGCCGCUGC